UCGAGAAGCUUCCGCAAUGGGCGAAAGCCUGACGGAGCGACGCCGCGUGAACGAAGAAGGUCCUAUGGAUUGUAAAGUUCUGUCAGAUUGGGAAGAAAACCUUACGGUUAAUACCCGUAAGGCUUGACGGUACCAUCAGAGGAAGCACCGGCUAACUCCGUGCCAGCAGCCGCGGUAAUACGGAGGGUGCAAGCGUUGUUCGGAUUCACUGGGUAUAAAGGGUGCGCAGGCGGCCUGUUAAGUCAGGGGUGAAAUAUGACGGCUCAACCGUCAAACUGCCCCUGAAACUGACAGGCUUGAGUCCGGGAGAGGUAGGUGGAAUUCCAGGUGUAGCGGUGAAAUGCGUAAAUAUCUGGAGGAACACCAGUGGCGAAGGCGGCCUACUGGCCCGGAACUGACGCUCAGGCACGAAAGCAUGGGGAGCGAACG
This 429-nucleotide ribosomal RNA is filed under the name uncultured bacterium. RNAcentral describes it as "bacterial SSU rRNA". It matches the Rfam family "Bacterial small subunit ribosomal RNA", at positions 355 to 774 of the family's 1533-position model. The record is from RNAcentral.